This 382-nucleotide long non-coding RNA is filed under the name Equus caballus (horse). RNAcentral's name for it is "lncRNA (ENSECAG00000045640.1)". Lineage: Eukaryota; Metazoa; Chordata; Mammalia; Perissodactyla; Equidae. The record is from RNAcentral.
GUGCAACCUCUCAUCUUCACUGAUGAGGAAGCCGAGACCUGGAGAAGUUUGGUGAUGUCCGAAAUCAGCUGCCCAGACUGAUGGCCUUUAAACACUUAGGUAUCUUUUCAAAAUCAAGCAAGAGGAGCUCGGGUUUGAGCACAUCAUAAUAACAGCAACGUGUCAGACAGAUUGAUCCAGCCCCACUCCAGGCCAGGCCCCGAGCCAGGCACUCGGACGCAGCGGUGGGAGAGGCAGACGGGGCCACGCCCGUGGAGAACAGUGGGUUUGGCGAGAGAGACAGGUGGUUAGAGGUCAUCUCUCUCUCAAGGUCACGGCCCAAGUUUCAGAUGAUCCAGAAAAACUCCCUGGAUUCAGGAGCUUAUGGAAAGUUUAAUUAAAG